Molecule: small nucleolar RNA, 109 nt
Organism: Elaeis guineensis (African oil palm)
Lineage: Eukaryota; Viridiplantae; Streptophyta; Magnoliopsida; Arecales; Arecaceae
Source: RefSeq, a predicted model, not a curated record
AGACUAUGAUGUGGGCAUUUUUUAAGAAGUUCCUUAAGUCUCUCCCAUGACUCGUGAAUUUGUUUUCUUAGAUGCUGAGCAAAUCCAGUGAUAGCUCACCUCACAGUGU